Molecule: ribosomal RNA, 497 nt
Filed under: uncultured bacterium
Lineage: Bacteria
Description: partial 16S ribosomal RNA
Rfam family: Bacterial small subunit ribosomal RNA
Source: RNAcentral
GAUGAACGCUGGCGGCGUGCCUAAUACAUGCAAGUCGAGCGAACAGACGAGGAGCUUGCUCCUCUGACGUUAGCGGCGGACGGGUGAGUAACACGUGGAUAACCUACCUAUAAGACUGGGAUAACUUCGGGAAACCGGAGCUAAUACCGGAUAAUAUAUUGAACCGCAUGGUUCAAUAGUUAAAGACGGUUUUGCUGUCACUUAUAGAUGGAUCCGCGCCGCAUUAGCUAGUUGGUAAGGUAACGGCUUACCAAGGCGACGAUGCGUAGCCGACCUGAGAGGGUGAUCGGCCACACUGGAACUGAGACACGGUCCAGACUCCUACGGGAGGCAGCAGUAGGGAAUCUUCCGCAAUGGGCGAAAGCCUGACGGAGCAACGCCGCGUGAGUGAUGAAGGUCUUCGGAUCGUAAAACUCUGUUAUUAGGGAAGAACAAAUGUGUAAGUAACUAUGCACGUCUUGACGGUACCAAAUCAGAAAGCCACGGCUAACUACGUG